GCUAACCACUGCGCCACCAUGCUGCUAAGCUACGCAGGGUCGGGCCUGGUUAGUACUUGUAUGGGAGACCACCUGGGAAUACMAGGUGCUGUAAGCU
Molecule: ribosomal RNA, 97 nt
Filed under: Amphilophus citrinellus (Midas cichlid)
Lineage: Eukaryota; Metazoa; Chordata; Actinopteri; Cichliformes; Cichlidae
Source: RNAcentral